GCGUAACGCGUUGGUGACCUGCCCCGAAGUGUGGAAUAACAGUUCGAAAGGACUGCUAAUACCGCAUGUGAUCGUCGGUUUUAGAAUCUGAUGAUUAAAGGAGAAAUCGCUUCGGGAGGGACCUGCGUCCCAUCAGCUAGUUGGUAGGGUAAUGGCCUACCAAGGCUAUGACGGGUAGGCGGUGUGAGAGCACGACCGCCAACGAUGGGACUGAAACACGGCCCAUACUCCUACGGGAGGCAGCAGUCGAGAAUAUUGGACAAUGAGGGAAACCUUGAUCCAGCGACGUCGCGUGCUCGAAGAAGCCCUUCGGGGCGUAAAGAGCUUUUCUGAGGGAAGAAUCUUCGGAUGACAGUACCUCAGGAAUAAGAGGGGGCAAACUCUGUGCCAGCAGCAGCGGUAAUACAGAGCCCUCAAGCGUUAUCCGGAUUUAUUGGGCGUAAAGUGUCUGUAGGUGGUCAGCAAAGUUUUCUGUUAAAGCUCCAGAGCUUAACUUUGGAAAUGCAGAAAAUACUGGCUGACUAGAGGGCGUUAGAGGUUGGCGGAACGGUCGGUGUAGGGGUGAAAUCCGUUGAUAUCGACCGGAACCCUAAAUGCGAAGGCAGCCAACUGGGGCGACCCUGACACUGAAAGACGAAAGCGUGGGGAGCGACAAGGAUUAGAUACCCUUUUAGUCCACGCCCUAAACAAUGGAUACUGGCUAUUUGAAGUGUCGACCCUUCAAGUGGCGAAGCUUACGCGUUAAGUAUCCCGCCUGGGAAGUACGGUCGCAAGACUAAAACUCAAAGGAAUAGACGGGGAUUUACACAAGCGGUGGACCAUGUGGCUCAAUUCGACGACAAACGAGGAACCUUACCAGGGUUUGAAAUUCCGCUAAAACUUCGAUGAAAGUCGGAGGUCUCACAAGGGUAGCGGAACAGGUGCUGCAUGGUUGUCGUCAGCUCGUACUUUGAAGCGUACGCUUAAGUGCGACAACGAGCGCAACCCUUAUUCCGCGUUUUAAUUGUCGCGGAAAACUGCCUGGGAUAACCAGGAGGAAGGCGAGGAUGACGCCAAAUCAGCACGGCCCUUUGAUACCUGGCCGCACACGUGGUACAAUGGAGCCGACAGUGGGUCGCGAAGCCGCAAGGCGGAGCUAAUCCCAGCCAAACGGCCCCUCAAUUCGGAUUGAGGUCU
Molecule: ribosomal RNA, 1176 nt
Filed under: uncultured bacterium
Lineage: Bacteria
Description: bacterial SSU rRNA
Rfam family: Bacterial small subunit ribosomal RNA
Source: RNAcentral